UAGGGAAUCUUCCGCAAUGGGCGAAAGCCUGACGGAGCAACGCCGCGUGAGUGAUGAAGGUCUUCGGAUCGUAAAACUCUGUUAUUAGGGAAGAACAUAUGUGUAAGUAACUGUGCACAUCUUGACGGUACCUAAUCAGAAAGCCACGGCUAACUACGUGCCAGCAGCCGCGGUAAUACGUAGGUGGCAAGCGUUAUCCGGAAUUAUUGGGCGUAAAGCGCGCGUAGGCGGUUUUUUAAGUCUGAUGUGAAAGCCCACGGCUCAACCGUGGAGGGUCAUUGGAAACUGGAAAACUUGAGUGCAGAAGAGGAAAGUGGAAUUCCAUGUGUAGCGGUGAAAUGCGCAGAGAUAUGGAGGAACACCAGUGGCGAAGGCGACUUUCUGGUCUGUAACUGACGCUGAUGUGCGAAAGCGUGGGGAUCAAACAGGAUUAGAUACCCUGGUAGUCCACGCCGUAAACGAUGAGUGCUAAGUGUUAGGGGGUUUCCGCCCCUUAGUGCUGCAGCUAACGCAUUAAGCGCUCCGCCUGGGGAGUACGACCGCAAGGUUG
Molecule: ribosomal RNA, 550 nt
Filed under: uncultured bacterium
Lineage: Bacteria
Description: bacterial SSU rRNA
Rfam family: Bacterial small subunit ribosomal RNA
Source: RNAcentral